Drosophila montana is the source of this 1606-nucleotide long non-coding RNA. RefSeq lists it as uncharacterized. NCBI's taxonomy places the organism in Eukaryota, Metazoa, Arthropoda, Insecta, Diptera, Drosophilidae. The record is from RefSeq and is a predicted model, not a curated record. The transcript has 3 exons.
GAGUGUUAAAUUCUAGAACCGUGAACUAUUCAUAAUUUAUUUGUAGCUCAUAUUUCCUAUUAAAUUCGUAUGCAAAAAGCAACCACUAAACGCCUCUAAUCAAAAGUCAAAAAACGAGUUCAAUAAACCAAAAAGCAAACAAGCCAAGCGCAGUUUUAGCCAAGUAAUUGUUAUUGUAGCUGGUAGCGGGUGUCAAGAGCAGUCAACAGUUUUUGUUUUGUCGAAGUCAUUAAACUUGGCUCGCAUUUGACAUUGCCAACUGGAAGUGAAUAGACAAACGGACGGAGGGACGGAUGGACGGACGAACAGUUUUGUCUACGUUCGAUUAGCAAUCGCAAAAUGGCCAAAAAUCUAUAUUUGCCAAGCAGUUCAUUCAACUGAUUUUUUGAUUUUUGCGCAUUUCAAACUUUCAACUCGAACGAAAAUGUUUCCUUAUCAGCAGCGCAGGUUCCACGAAUUUUAGUGGUUCAGUCAUGUGAGUGCGUCUUGAAUUUCUAUGAAUGAAAUGCCGCAUGCCACACAGCUCAUUAUAAACAUGGCCAGCGAUUCCAUUGAAUGCUACCCGAUGCCGCUGGCAACAACAACAACAAUUUCUCCUCCCCUUCCUUGGGAUGGGGUCAUUUGCCAGAGCAAAACGUGACAACUGCGUUGCCUGCAUUCCAAGUGUUGUUUUUUUAAUCUCAGAGCCUCAGUCUGGAGUCUGCCUAAAUGGGAGCGCCAUGAAGUACAUAUAGUGGAGCUGCUUUACAUAUACAUAUCAGCCGGCACGACGAGCAGAAUCAGAAGCAGAACCAGACGACACGCUGACUGGCACUGCUGGUAUGCAGACAAUGGCAUGAAAAUUGCAAUUUGCACUACAGUUGUGCGUUUAACGCAGCCCAAUAUACGAAAAAAUAUACAUAUAUUACAUUUCUAUAGAGUUUUCAUUUUUCAAUUAAUCAAACUGUAAAUCUAACUCAAAUUGGCGCAAGUGCGCUUGAAGACAGAGUUGAUUGCAGCCAAGGUUGCCCAUUUGUUGCGUGGGCGGUGUGACCACCACACGACAACAAAGUGACCCUGCGCCAAAAGUUAGAACAGCUGGCAACAACAACAGCUUAUUGCCGCCAAAAGUUGUUGACGCGUAAAAAGUAAUUUGUUUAGUUGCGCUUUGUAAAAUCAAAUUAAAAGUGUCGUAUUUGCCGUGCUUAGCCCAAUAACGUCAAUUUCGCGUGUUGAGUGCAAUAUUCAGCAAAUGUGCUUAUCAAAAUGCAAUUGCAGUAAGUGCCUGCGAUAAGUGUAAGUGUUUCAAGUGUAAGUUCUCCCGCAGCGCGUCGCAAUUAAUUUGACGGGUGCUCCAAAAAAAGUGCCGCAAGUGAUAUACAGGGCUUUAAAUGUUUAACCAGCUGUUAAUGGUGACCACACACAACGAUUAGACAAGUCUUGCGCUACCUCAGCAGAUUCGAGUCCAAGUGCGCCAAAGGAAAAGUCCAGCACGUUAAUGGACAAAGGAAGUGUGUCAAGGUGUGCUUUUAUAUUUUUUUUUAAAUUUUUUUCUGUGCUUUACUGUGUUUUUGGGAUAAAAAGUUAAUUUGAUUUUUUUUGUGAUUUUUUUUCUGUGUUUAAUUGU